GUCGUUGAUUUCACACUGCCGAGAAAAGCCUCUAGAUAGAAAAUAGGUGCCCGUACCGCAAACCGACACAGGUAGUCAAGAUGAGAAUUCUAAGGUGAGCGAGCGAACUCUCGUUAAGGAACUCGGCAAAAUGACCCCGUAACUUCGGGAGAAGGGGUGCUCUUUAGGGUUAACGCCCAGAAGAGCCGCAGUGAAUAGGCCCAAGCGACUGUUUAUCAAAAACACAGGUCUCUGCUAAACCGUAAGGUGAUGUAUAGGGGCUGACGCCUGCCCGGUGCUGGAAGGUUAAGAGGAGUGGUUAGCUUCUGCGAAGCUACGAAUCGAAGCCCCAGUAAACGGCGGCCGUAACUAUAACGGUCCUAAGGUAGCGAAAUUCCUUGUCGGGUAAGUUCCGACCCGCACGAAAGGCGUAACGAUUUGGGCACUGUCUCAACGAGAGACUCGGUGAAAUCAUAGUACCUGUGAAGAUGCAGGUUACCCGCGACAGGACGGAAAGACCCCGUGGAGCUUUACUGUAGCCUGAUAUUGAAAUUCGGCACAGCUUGUACAGGAUAGGUAGGAGCCUUUGAAACGUGAGCGCUAGCUUACGUGGAGGCGCUGGUGGGAUACUACCCUAGCUGUGUUGGCUUUCUAACCCGCACCACUUAUCGUGGUGGGAGACAGUGUCAGGCGGGCAGUUUGACUGGGGCGGUCGCCUCCUAAAAGGUAACGGAGGCGCUCAAAGGUUCCCUCAGAAUGGUUGGAAAUCAUUCAUAGAGUGUAAAGGCAUAAGGGAGCUUGACUGCGAGACCUACAAGUCGAGCAGGGUCGAAAGACGGACUUAGUGAUCCGGUGGUUCCGCAUGGAAGGGCCAUCGCUCAACGGAUAAAAGCUACCCCGGGGAUAACAGGCUUAUCUCCCCCAAGAGUUCACAUCGACGGGGAGGUUUGGCACCUCGAUGUCGGCUCAUCGCAUCCUGGGGCUGUAGUCGGUCCCAAGGGUUGGGCUGUUCGCCCAUUAAAGCGGUACGCGAGCUGGGUUCAGAACGUCGUGAGACAGUUCGGUCCCUAUCCGUCGUGGGCGUAGGAAAUUUGAGAGGAGCUGUCCUUAGUACGAGAGGACCGGGAUGGACAUACCUCUGGUGUACCAGUUGUCGUGCCAACGGCAUAGCUGGGUAGCUAUGUGUGGACGGGAUAAGUGCUGAAAGCAUCUAAGCAUGAAGCCCCCCUCAAGAUGAGAUUUCCCAACUUCGGUUAUAAGAUCCCUCAAAGAUGAUGAGGUUAAUAGGUUCGAGGUGGAAGCAUGGUGACAUGUGGAGCUGACGAAUACUAAUCGAUCGAAGACUUAAUC
Molecule: ribosomal RNA, 1329 nt
Filed under: Staphylococcus aureus M80329
Lineage: Bacteria; Bacillati; Bacillota; Bacilli; Caryophanales; Staphylococcaceae
Also listed under: 1 other name
Description: bacterial LSU rRNA
Rfam family: Bacterial large subunit ribosomal RNA
Source: RNAcentral